CGGGACGUAGCGCAGCUUGGUAGCGCACUUGCAUGGGGUGCAAGGGGUCGAAGGUUCAAAUCCUUUCGUCCCGACCA
Molecule: transfer RNA, 77 nt
Filed under: Methylomonas sp.
Lineage: Bacteria; Pseudomonadati; Pseudomonadota; Gammaproteobacteria; Methylococcales; Methylococcaceae
Also listed under: 1 other name
Description: tRNA-Pro
Rfam family: tRNA
About the family: Transfer RNA (tRNA) molecules are approximately 80 nucleotides in length. Their secondary structure includes four short double-helical elements and three loops (D, anti-codon, and T loops).
Source: RNAcentral